RNAcentral lists this ribosomal RNA (253 nucleotides) under uncultured bacterium. RNAcentral's name for it is "partial 16S ribosomal RNA". It matches the Rfam family "Bacterial small subunit ribosomal RNA", at positions 524 to 776 of the family's 1533-position model. The record is from RNAcentral.
UACGUAGGGUGCAAGCGUUAAUCGGAAUUACUGGGCGUAAAGCGUGCGCAGGCGGCUAUGCAAGACAGAUGUGAAAUCCCCGGGCUCAACCUGGGAACUGCAUUUGUGACUGCAUAGCUAGAGUACGGCAGAGGGGGAUGGAAUUCCGCGUGCAGCAGUGAAAUGCGUAGAGAUGUGGAGGAACACCGAUGGCGAAGGCAGCCCCCUGGGCCGUAACUGACGCUCAUGCACGAAAGCGUGGGGAGCAAACAGG